UCGAGCUCAGUCAGAGUACCAUGUAUAUUACACAUGGACUCUUUUAGGGGAAGUCAUGUGGGUCUCAAAAAUCUUCUUCAAAGCUACCUUUGCGAGGAGUGGAGAGAGAGGACAAAGGAAACGCCUGAUGUUGUCUCUUCGAAUUUUCGAAAUUUGAGAUUUCUCAGUCUUGAGCUACCGCAACAGCAAAAUCUGUCGGACUGUGGCCUUUUUUUACUACACUAUGUGGAGAGUUUUUUGGAGGAAGAUCCUGCUGGCAUCAACCCAUACAGCAUAAAGAACUACCACAACGAAUUUCUCAGCAUAAACUGGUUUCAACCAUAUGAGCCUUCUAUAAAGCGAAGUGCAAUUCAAAGACUGAUCAGUAACCUCCUCCAGAAUCUGUCUCUUGAAAAAUCUCCCUCUCGUGUGAGUAAUAGUUGCUAUCCUGAACGUGGUCUCAAG
RNAcentral lists this unclassified non-coding RNA (444 nucleotides) under Hevea brasiliensis (rubber tree). Lineage: Eukaryota; Viridiplantae; Streptophyta; Magnoliopsida; Malpighiales; Euphorbiaceae. The record is from RNAcentral.